UUUAACGCUGCGUUAGGCUUUCGCGUCUAUGAAUCUGGGUGUCCGGAAUGAUCCGGACGAGUGGCUCCUGUCCACUCUGUUUGACGCCUCCCUGUAAUUCAACCUUCAGGCCGCCUCUCGGGGCGGCCUUUUUU
Molecule: small RNA, 134 nt
Filed under: uncultured Alsobacter sp.
Lineage: Bacteria; Pseudomonadati; Pseudomonadota; Alphaproteobacteria; Hyphomicrobiales; Alsobacteraceae
Description: Alphaproteobacterial sRNA BjrC1505
Rfam family: Alphaproteobacterial sRNA BjrC1505
Source: RNAcentral